Trichomycterus rosablanca is the source of this 617-nucleotide long non-coding RNA. RefSeq lists it as uncharacterized. The record is from RefSeq and is a predicted model, not a curated record. The transcript is spliced from 3 exons. NCBI's taxonomy places the organism in Eukaryota, Metazoa, Chordata, Actinopteri, Siluriformes, Trichomycteridae.
UAACCGCGAAAGCCGAGAGAAUAAUUUAUCCGACUAAGACGUUUUUUGUUAGUUAGGUGAACAAACACAGUUCUGGAAUAUUCUGGAAACAUACAAGAUGGCCGCCAAGAAGAAAGACAAGUGGAUUUUAUCAUUAAUGGAACAACACACGCAUCUAGACUUGGUCUUAAUUUAAAGAAGAGAAGCGCAGGGAGGAUGUUGAAUCCGAGGCAACUGACCAGAAGCGGACAGGAAAGACAUUGAAUGUUCCACGAUCGACGCCAUUCGGCCGGCUCCGAGGCUCUCUCAUUCGUCCCGUGGUUCAAUACGGGCGAUCGCGGCCGAGCUCUCUACACAGCCCCCACUGGGAUCAACUAAUAUCCAGUGUGAUACACUUCUACAGUUGUACGCCGUGGCCUCUUGAGGAAAUCCCUGGUCCCUGUGUACUGUUUUUCUUAAACUUUGUCUGUUUCACUAAGUGCAGGAACAUAGAACCGUCUCUACUGCCUUUUAAUGUGGCCUUCUGAUCUGAAAUGUACUUUAAUAACAUCCCAAAUAACACACAACCUUUUACAAUUGUAUAAUAAUACAUACUUGUGCAUGUAUAUAAUUAAAAUGUUCACAUUUAAAUACACUGA